AUUGAACGCUGGCGGAAUGCUUUACACAUGCAAGUCGAGCGGCAGCACGGGGGCAACCCUGGUGGCGAGCGGCGAACGGGUGAGUAACACAUCGGAACAUGCCCAGUCGUGGGGGAUAACACUUCGAAAGAAGUGCUAAUACCGCAUACGUCCUGAGGGAGAAAGCGGGGGAUCGCAAGACCUCGCGCGAUUGGAGUGGCCGAUGUCAGAUUAGCUAGUUGGUGGGGUAAAGGCCUACCAAGGCAACGAUCUGUAGCUGGUCUGAGAGGAUGAUCAGCCAAAGUGCGACUGGGAAACGGACCAGACCCCGACGGGAGGGAGCAGGGGGGGAGUUUGGAAAAGGGGGGUAAACCCGAUCCCGCCACUCCGCGGGAGGGAAGAAGGUCCUCGGGUUUGAAAGCUACUUCCGCAGGGACGAAAAGGUGGGCCCUAACAUAGCUUGCUAAUGACGGUACCUGAAGAAGAAGCACCGGCUAACUACGUG
This 484-nucleotide ribosomal RNA is filed under the name uncultured bacterium. Its description in RNAcentral is "partial 16S ribosomal RNA". It matches the Rfam family "Bacterial small subunit ribosomal RNA", at positions 29 to 507 of the family's 1533-position model. The record is from RNAcentral.